GAUGAACGCUGGCGGCGUGCCUAAUACAUGCAAGUCGAGCGAACGGACGAGAAGCUUGCUUUUCUGAUGUUAGCGGCGGACGGGUGAGUAACACGUGGAUAACCUACCUAUAAGACUGGGAUAACUUCGGGAAACCGGAGCUAAUACCGGAUAAUAUUUUGAACCGCAUGGUUCAAAAGUGAAAGACGGUCUUGCUGUCACUUAUAGAUAGAUCCGCGCUGCAUUAGCUAGUUGGUAAGGUAACGGCUUACCAAGGCAACGAUGCAUAGCCGACCUGAGAGGGUGAUCGGCCACACUGGAACUGAGACACGGUCCAGACUCCUACGGGAGGCAGCAGUAGGGAAUCUUCCGCAAUGGGCGAAAGCCUGACGGAGCAACGCCGCGCGAGUGAUGAAGGUCUUCGGAUCGUAAAACUCUGUUAUUAGGGAAGAACAUAUGUGUAAGUAACUGUGCACAUCUUGACGGUACCUAAUCAGAAAGCCACGGCUAACUACGUG
Molecule: ribosomal RNA, 497 nt
Filed under: uncultured bacterium
Lineage: Bacteria
Description: partial 16S ribosomal RNA
Rfam family: Bacterial small subunit ribosomal RNA
Source: RNAcentral